RNAcentral lists this ribosomal RNA (448 nucleotides) under uncultured bacterium. Its description in RNAcentral is "bacterial SSU rRNA". It matches the Rfam family "Bacterial small subunit ribosomal RNA", at positions 329 to 797 of the family's 1533-position model. The record is from RNAcentral.
CACCAGACUCCUACGGGAGGCAGCAGUGGGGAAUAUUGCACAAUGGGGGAAACCCUGAUGCAGCGACGCCGCGUGAGUGAAGAAGUAUUUCGGAAUGUAAAGCUCUAUCAGCAGGGAAGAAAAUGACGGUACCUGACUAAGAAGCCCCGGCUAACUACGUGCCAGCAGCCGCGGUAAUACGUAGGGGGCAAGCGUUAUCCGGAUCUACUGGGUGUAAAGGGAGCGUAGACGGCCAGACAAGUCAGAAGUGAAAGCCCUGGGCUCAACUCUGGGACUGCUUUUGAACCUGCCGGGCUGGAGUGCAGGAGAGGUAAGCGGAAUUCCUAGUGUAGCGGUGAAAUGCGUAGAUAUUAGGAGGAACACCAGUGGCGAAGGCGGCCUGCUGGACGAUAACUGACGUUGAGGCUCGAAAGCGUGGGGAGCAAACAGGAUUAGAUACCCCAGUACA